RNAcentral lists this ribosomal RNA (466 nucleotides) under uncultured Cryptanaerobacter sp. Its description in RNAcentral is "bacterial SSU rRNA". It matches the Rfam family "Bacterial small subunit ribosomal RNA", at positions 923 to 1382 of the family's 1533-position model. Lineage: Bacteria; Bacillati; Bacillota; Clostridia; Eubacteriales; Desulfotomaculaceae. The record is from RNAcentral.
GCACAAGCGGUGGAGCAUGUGGUUUAAUUCGACGCAACGCGAAGAACCUUUACCAGGGCUUGACAUCCUCUGACCGCGUAUGAAAGUACGUUUUCUGGCUUCGGUCAGACAGAGAGACAGGUGGUGCAUGGUUGUCGUCAGCUCGUGUCGUGAGAUGUUGGGUUAAGUCCCGCAACGAGCGCAACCCCUACGUUUAGUUGCUAACGUGUAACGAUGAGCACUCUAGGCGGACUGCCGUUGACAAAACGGAGGAAGGUGGGGAUGACGUCAAAUCAUCAUGCCCCUUAUGUUCUGGGCUACACACGUGCUACAAUGGCCGGUACAAAGGGACGCAAAGCCGCGAGGUGGAGCAAAUCCGAUAAAAGCCGGUCUCAGUUCGGAUUGCAGGCUGAAAUUCGCCUGCAUGAAGUCGGAAUCGCUAGUAAUCGCAGGUCAGCAUACUGCGGUGAAUACGUUCCCGGGCCUU